Molecule: ribosomal RNA, 468 nt
Filed under: uncultured bacterium
Lineage: Bacteria
Description: partial 16S ribosomal RNA
Rfam family: Bacterial small subunit ribosomal RNA
Source: RNAcentral
GACGAACGCUGGCGGCGUGCUUAACACAUGCAAGUCGAACGGAAAGGCCCUGCUUUUGCGGGGUGCUCGAGUGGCGAACGGGUGAGUAACACGUGAGUAACCUGCCUUUGACUUUGGGAUAACUUCAGGAAACUGGGGCUAAUACCGGAUAGGAGCUCCUGCUGCAUGGUGGGGUUCGGAAAGUUUCGGCGGUUGGGGAUGGACUUGCGGCUUAUCAGCUUGUUGGUGGGGUAGUGGCUUACCAAGGCUUUGACGGGUAGCCGGCCUGAGAGGGUGACCGGCCACAUUGGGACUGAGAUACGGCCCAGACUCCUACGGGAGGCAGCAGUGGGGAAUAUUGCACAAUGGGCGGAAGCCUGAUGCAGCAACGCCGCGUGCGGGAUGACGGCCUUCGGGUUGUAAACCGCUUUCGCCUGUGACGAAGCGUGAGUGGCGGUAAUGGGUAAAGAAGCACCGGCUAACUACGUG